Molecule: transfer RNA, 66 nt
Filed under: Armandia sp. GK-2021
Lineage: Eukaryota; Metazoa; Annelida; Polychaeta; Opheliidae
Description: tRNA-Asn
Source: RNAcentral
CAGGUAGAAGCCAAGAAGGCACCUAACUGUUAAUUAGGCAACUGUUAAAGUUCUUAACCUACCUGG